GGGUAGGUAGCUCAGUCGGUAGAGCAACGGACUGAAAAUCCGUGUGUCGGCGGUUCGAUCCCGCCCCUGCCCA
This 73-nucleotide transfer RNA is filed under the name Planctomycetaceae bacterium. RNAcentral describes it as "tRNA-Phe". It matches the Rfam family "tRNA". Rfam says of the family: Transfer RNA (tRNA) molecules are approximately 80 nucleotides in length. The record is from RNAcentral. Lineage: Bacteria; Pseudomonadati; Planctomycetota; Planctomycetia; Planctomycetales; Planctomycetaceae.